This is a long non-coding RNA of Gambusia affinis (western mosquitofish), 1986 nucleotides long. RefSeq lists it as uncharacterized. The transcript is spliced from 3 exons. Lineage: Eukaryota; Metazoa; Chordata; Actinopteri; Cyprinodontiformes; Poeciliidae. The record is from RefSeq and is a predicted model, not a curated record.
ACUAAUUUAGGGCUUUCAGACAGCCAGGUAAGCAGCCAGGGAGGCAGGAGCCGAACAGAGCGAACAGCCAGCCAUACAUAUGGAUCAGGUCGGCAGCUGAGCAUUAAUGGCCUCCCCCUGGAAUCUAAAACACAGGCGCAGGCCAGAGAGGAGCUCCUGGGGGAAAUCAGAAUACCAGCAGCCAUUCAGGAGGUCACUGACUCACGACGCAGUGACUCACGGCUCCAUCAUGAGUCCUGAAGCCAACGGUCACAUGGGGAUCCGCACAACAUCCCGGCUGUAAUUCAUCCAACAAAUUCAUGCGCACGGAUCAGACUUCAGGAACUUUCACCCGUUUACCAGCCUAGCCAGAGCGAGCGUGAUGGCGACUCGCUCGGGAUAUAUUGCUCUCGCCUUUCAGAAAGCGUCUGCAUCCGCAGCCGUUAAGGAAAUGAAUGUGUCAGUCACGGCCCUAUCUGCCUUCCUCAUGAGGAGGAGGAGGAGGCCUGGCGGGAUAACCGUACCUGCGUACGGCGGAGGAAUAGCGAAUGCGGCUGCAGAUAAAGGUGACGUCUUGAGGCCAUUACUUAUCCAGCACAGCAGCAAAGGUUUGCAGAUAUUAUACCUGCUGUCUCCACAUAAUAGCUCUCGGUUGGAAGCAAACACACACACAGACACAGACACGCAUGAGGAAAUGUAACGAGCACAAACAACCAAGGCCCACACGCAAAUUUACACACGUCUCGGCCGCUAAAUCUGCGAAAACACACACACACACACGCAUGGACACACUGGGAUGCCUCGCCUCGCUGAGUUAAAACAGAUGAAAGAGCUGCUAAAUGAAAUCUGACUCAACAGUUUAAAAUGCAGCACUGCAGCUCUGCGAGGAUCAGUACAGCAAAACGACGGCAUUCCUCAAAGCUGCCACAGUAGCUACCGUCCAGAUGCAACUUAGGUUUGUUAUUAUGCUUCCUUGAACAGGUUAGGAAAGGCCUGUGGCCUAUUCAAAACAUGCUUGUUACACUUCUACACAAAAUCAUUCUUAGAUAAUGAGAUUUUAGUUUGGUCAGUUUUGUCCCCAUCUCAUCAUUUACAUUCACACUUGAAAAGAGAUACGCAAUUAUACAACUGUACAGCUUUGAAAAGCAUGAGUGGCGCCUCCUCCACAAAAAACAAGAAUGCAGCUACUGGUUUCUGGAUGGUAGCUAAUCAAUAGAAGAACAGAACAGUUGUCUUUUCCAGGGGCUAUUAUACAACAAACCAGCUGACCAAAUGCACUGGAACUCAACUUGGGUUGCUUUGUAGCUACGCAGUAGUUACCUAUCAUGCGUUCGAUUCACUUUGCUGUUUUAUUGGCUUUAUCUGUAUAUUAAAUAUGUUUCUUUUUUUUUCUUUUUCUCUCCUGUUCAUUAAUUUAUUUUUAAAUUUAAAGUGAAUCGAACCUAGCACCCAGCAAGGUGGAGUUCUGCUGGAGUUGCUAGGAAACGGGUGGAGUUCUGCUGGAGUUGCUAGGAAACGGGUGGAGUUCUGCUGGGGUUGCUAGGAAACGGUGCACCGCCCAUGAAAUGUGACUCAACAAUUGGGAGGCUUUUUAACCGACUCCCUUUUCCAGACAUUAACUUAUUGCCAAAAGCAACUUGGGUGGCGCUACAGUCCAGACUAAAAUAGAAGUACAAAAAAAGAGUAAAACGUGAAUCAACUUUGGUGCAACUUCCUUCUUCGCAAAAUGGAUACAGAAAUGGAGUGGCGUCAGAUUUUAGCAGUUAGAGAUUUUUCUUUUGUCUUUGGUAAAGACCACACGCCAUUUUUCUGCUAACGCUAGGCUAACGUGUUUGUUCUGGUUGUAUUUACCUAGAAAGCCCUGCGCUGUAGUCCACUUCCUGCUUUCGUAGACGUCUCCGGUCUGCUUGAUGUUCACAUACACAUUUAAUCCACACCAGAUUCACUUCAAUCAGAACUGAGGUUUUUAGAAGGACCAGAGUUUGAUUAGCAUUCACAUCUUGUCAA